RNAcentral lists this ribosomal RNA (254 nucleotides) under uncultured bacterium. RNAcentral's name for it is "partial 16S ribosomal RNA". It matches the Rfam family "Bacterial small subunit ribosomal RNA", at positions 524 to 776 of the family's 1533-position model. The record is from RNAcentral.
UACGGGGGGAGCAAGCGUUGUUCGGAUUUACUGGGCGUAAAGGGCGCGUAGGCGGCCACCGCAAGUCAGUUGUGAAAUCUCUGGGCUUAACCCAGAACGGUCAGCUGAUACUGCGGGGCUAGAGUGCAGAAGGGGCAACUGGAAUUCUCGGUGUAGCGGUGAAAUGCGUAGAUAUCGAGAGGAACACCAGUGGCGAAGGCGGCUCUCUGGACUGUAACUGACGCUGAGGCGCGAAAGCGUGGGGAGCAAACAGG